GCCAGCCAGUGGCAUGACCUGCGGCACUCGACUUGUAAUCGGGCGGUUAGGGGUUCAAGUCCCCUCGCCGGCUCCA
RNAcentral lists this transfer RNA (76 nucleotides) under Frankia torreyi. RNAcentral describes it as "tRNA-Thr". It matches the Rfam family "tRNA". Rfam says of the family: Transfer RNA (tRNA) molecules are approximately 80 nucleotides in length. Their secondary structure includes four short double-helical elements and three loops (D, anti-codon, and T loops). The record is from RNAcentral. RNAcentral also lists the same sequence under 1 other name. Lineage: Bacteria; Bacillati; Actinomycetota; Actinomycetes; Frankiales; Frankiaceae.